ACUCAUACCUUGCAGUGGAAAUACCAUGGUCAUGAAAGUGGUUUUUCUCGGGUAAGGUUCAUCCAUUGCAUUUCCGGUGUGCUGAUCCCUGUGAUUUCCCCAAAUGUGGGGAACUCAACUGCAUAAUUUGUGUUAAUUGGGGAUUACAUUUGUUAUUUCCCUGG
RNAcentral lists this small nuclear RNA (164 nucleotides) under Pogona vitticeps (central bearded dragon). RNAcentral's name for it is "U1 spliceosomal RNA (ENSPVIG00000005435.1)". It matches the Rfam family "U1 spliceosomal RNA". From Rfam's summary of the family: U1 is a small nuclear RNA (snRNA) component of the spliceosome (involved in pre-mRNA splicing). Its 5' end forms complementary base pairs with the 5' splice junction, thus defining the 5' donor site of an intron. There are significant differences in sequence and secondary structure between metazoan and yeast U1 snRNAs, the latter being much longer (568 nucleotides as compared to 164 nucleotides in human). The record is from Rfam by way of RNAcentral. Lineage: Eukaryota; Metazoa; Chordata; Lepidosauria; Squamata; Agamidae.